RNAcentral lists this long non-coding RNA (24083 nucleotides) under Populus trichocarpa (black cottonwood). Its description in RNAcentral is "long non-coding RNA (PTRI_LNC001653)". The record is from RNAcentral. Lineage: Eukaryota; Viridiplantae; Streptophyta; Magnoliopsida; Malpighiales; Salicaceae.
UUCAACAAAACCUACAGAAGAAGAAUUGCAUGAUUUUGGUGGAAAAUCACAAAUAAUUUCAUAAAAAUUAUGCUAAAUAUUAAAAAAAAAAACUCAAAAAAAUACACAUGGAUCGUUAUAUAAUUUUUAAAGUGAAAUCCAAUUGUAGAUUCCGCAAAUUUAAAAAUCCAUGUGUAUUUUUCGAGUUUUUUAUUAUUAUAUAUUUCAAAUAUUUAGCAUUAUUAAUAAAAUGUUUGUUCAAUUCCACUAUAAUCACAACUAUAUAUAAGUAUUUUAACAAAUAAAUAUAUAAAACCCAUUGUCGAUAUAUAAAUUAUCAUAAAAAAUUUAAUUUAAUUUUUUAUUGAUAUUAUUAAAUUUGACUUGAUAGAUCUAAUAACUUGUUGACAUGAGAUAUGAUAAGGGCCUAUCAUAUCUAUACGGCUAAUCGCGUUUCAAAUACAAUUAAUUACAAAAAAAAAAAAAAAAAAAACAUUAUUUUUAUAUUUUUGCAUGGCUAAUCACAGUUUAAAAUACAAUUCGUUGCGUACGUGAUUGGCCGCGUAGACAAACUGCUUGAGUACUGACUUUCCAUGAUUCGAUUCCCACAAAAUAGAAAGACAGAGGAUAGCUUAAGAAAGCUUUCUUAUUCCUUCCUAAUGACGAUUGAAUGUUAGUUAAGGAAGCCGUUUUCAAAAGGGUAUCUGACUAGCAGGUUCUACCAACAGUUCCAUUCAAGAAAGCUGGCCCAACUACCCGGAAAAGUUUCUGAUGCCAUAAAUUAAUGAAAGGAAAGCAUGAUGCUUUCUCUUAGAAAAGUAACUAGUUUUCAAACACAAGAAAAGAAAAAAAAAUCUGUAGUGAGUCAAGAUGUCUGAGAAUGGGAUUGGAGAAUCCUUGUUGAAGAAGAACAAGUACCAUGAGGAUUGCCCAGGUUGCAAGAUUGAACAUUUCAAAGAGACGAACACUGGUGUCCCUUUUAAACAUUUGCUCUAUGUCGGGAUUGUUGUCCUUUGUGCAGGUUAAGUAUCAUUCAAAGACUUGGUUCUUGAUUUGUUAGCCCAUUUCCUGCAUAAUUGGCCCACAAGAGGUAUAUAUUAUCCCACCUUGGACUCAUGGCCUCGUGGUAGGUUUCGUUCUUGAAACGCGCCUCUCGGGAAGAGAGGUGGUACCUGGAGAUUUCUUGAAUGGGUUUGCAUUGUGCGUGCACUGUUCAAUUUGUUUCGGAUGAUUGUUCAAUGAAACAGUUUGUUUUGAGACAUUGUUCAGGAAAAUAUUGUUGUUGAUUAGGAAAAAAUAUUUGUUGUACAAAAAGGUCAGGGAUUCACACACAAUAUUGCUGCUAAUGAAGUUUUCAUUUUGUGCAGGUUAAGAGCAGUUGCAAGGGCUGAUGUUUCAUUUAUUGUCACUGAAUUUCUCAUGAAUUAAAUGCUUUGGUUUAAGAUAUUAGAAUUGCCCUCUAAUAUCUGUGUUCUGUGGUUUUGACUUCUGCAGCUUUGCCUAUAUCGUCUCUCUUUCCUUUCCUAUAUUUCAUGGUGAGCAUGUUAUUCUGAAAAAUUAGGCUUACUUGAGAUUUGGGACUGAUGGUUCACGUACCUAUAGCUUGAGGAAUUUUCCCAGUGUUUGUAUUAGCGGCGGCGGGGGGGUUCGGGGUUAUCAGCAGAGUAGCACCUAGUAAAUGGAGCAUUUGAGCUUCAAAUUAAGAAGGGAUGUGGUUUUUAAUGUUGGCUGAUGGCAGGACAUGUAAAUUAACCAGGUUGCUUUUUGGCACGAUAAUCCUUGUUGCUGUUUCGACACACAAAUUAAGUAAAAGUAAAGGCACUAAGGUGCCUUAGGGCCGUGAUCAUGAAAGAUCUCAGUGAUAGUGGAUCUGUCAAUCUGUUCUUCUUUCAUGUUCUUCACUCGUACUUAUGUGGUGAUCUUGCAAAUUUGUUUUCUGCAGAUAAGGGACCUCCACAUUGCAAAAAGAGAGGAGGACAUUGGCUACUAUGCUGGUUAUGUGGGUGAGAGAGUCUUUUACAUAUGACUUGUACUCGGCCUGUUUACAUAAAUAUCUUGUUUGAGCUCCUCAAUUCUCAUUCCACCAUUCAUCCCCCGAAGGAUCUGCUUUUAUGUUUGGAAGAGCUUUAACUUCUGUGCUGUGGGGAAUGAUUGCCGAUCGAUAUGGUCGAAAACCGGUUAUAAUGUUUGGCACAAUAUCAGUGUAAGUGUUGCUGUACAUCUCUUUUAUGUGUAAUUGUUCAAGAGUUCAUCAGUAACAUGUAACCCUAAUUCCCUCUUAUUUCAGGGUUAUUUUCAAUACCCUUUUCGGCUUUAGUACAAACUUUUGGAUGGCAGUUUCUACCAGGUUUCUUCUUGGAAGUUUGUGUGGUAUUCUUGGUCCAAUGAGGGUACUUCUCUUUUGAGAUGUUUUAUUGGCUUACUGUUCCUUACAUCAUUCUCAGUUUUCCUGAAAGCUUCUAUAGGAAACAGUUUCAUUUUCAUGCAAUUCCAAGUUUAAUCAAGUUCUUGCAUCUUAAUGAUGGAAGUGGAGACCAAUUUUGAAGUCAACCUCUGAAACUUCAUCUUUGUAUUGCCUGAACAUGAGCCCUCGGAGAACUCCAUUUUCUUUUAUUUGUGUGCUGCUCGAAGAUUUUUAAGCCGAGGGCCCUCUCUGCCUUGCCUACUGGUGUCCUGUAUGGACUGCUUGUGGGCUAUGUGGUUGAUUUAACAGUUAAACAAUGCCUGCUACUCUUUGGAGGAGGCCAUCUGGCCUUUCUUCCUGUGUUACUUGGAUGUGACGAUUGUUCUUCUGUACCAAUGCUUAACACUGCUGUUGUUUGCACUGCCUUCUGUUGGAAAUUAUUGUGCAUAUUUUGAGUGUCCUCAUUUGACCAGGCAUAUGCUUCAGAAGUUUGCCGUAAAGAAUAUCAAGCUCUGGGAAUGUCCAUUGUAAGAGAGCCUCAACUGUAUAGAUUGUUGAAGAAUACUUGUAGUUUAAUAUGAAAUAUUGAAAGGAAUGUAUUUGUUUCAGAUCAGCACAUCAUGGGGUAUUGGAUUAGUCAUUGGUCCUGCUCUUGGAGGAUUUCUUGCUCAGGUACUUCUUGAUGCACCCUGACAAAUCAAAGACAAUGUUAAAAGAUGAUUUUGACGCAGCGUAUAGCGCUAGAGUUUCUCAAUUCCUGAAUUCUUACAGUUACAGGCUGUGGAGAAAGAAACUAGAGCUAUCAAGUUCUAAUGUUAUUACUCUUAUCGGUAGAUAAAACUUUGAAAAUUUUGAGUUUCUGGAAAAAUCUUAAUUCAUAAAUCUCAUGAAAAAAAACACUAUAUAGAGGUUACAACCGAUCAAACCAAAAGAAUCUAAAUCUAAAUUGAAAAAGUAAUUAAAAUUAAUUAUGAAAAUAAUUUUAACAAUAUCUUCUGUGUCUAAUUUGAAGGUUUUUUAAAAACAAGCGUAUCGAAUUAGAUAUAUAGAAACUCCUCAUUAAAUUUAAGCCUCGAUGAUCGGAUAUGAAAUUAUAGUUGUUAUUGUCAAACUCCAUGCUAGACUUUUUUAUGGACUUUGGCUUGUCUAUCUAGUCCAUAAACACAACCACAUCUUCCACAUCAUAUAUCAGUAUUGAUCGUGAAUUGUAAUGAAAUUUUCUAUGCAUGUGUGUUGCAAGAAUAUUAAAUAAACUUGUACUGAAAUCAUCAAACUAUUUAUCAAAGAGAUGAGAUUUCUCUGUUUAAUUCAAUUAAAUUACUUAUUUAUCAAUUAACCUUGGAAGUGUUGAUGUUGUAGCCCGCACAGAAAUAUCCAAACAUAUUUUCUACCGAUUCUCUUUUCGGAAGGUAAGCAUUAGUGUUUCUAGUUUUCAUAUUUCAUUCCUUAUUGUAACAAUCUUUUGCCUUUCAUUUCUGCUAAACUCUCCUCAACAUGGAUGGCAUUGCAGGUUUCCAUACCUCUUACCUUGCCUUUUGAUAUCAAUCUUUUCUGUGGGAGUAAUUGCCGUUUGUUGCUUGCUUCCGGUAUGUUGCUGUACGAAUUGUUAAACUUGUUUCUCGUCCGAUUCUCCCUGGUUAAAUCAUCGAUAGUUUACUAUUCACUGCUCAGAAGCUUAAGUGUGUUGAUUAGAUAUUCUCAAUACAUAUCUGUGUGUUCUUCUUAUCAGAGCUUCAUAUAGCUUAACAUGGAGCCUGAAAAUUUCUGCAGGAGACACUGCACAGUCAUGUAGGAAAUGGCGAAGAGUGCAAUGAUUCUGUAGCGCUUGGGGCUGCCGCAUUCGAGUCUAACUCUCCUCGGAAAAGCCUACUGAAAAAUUGGCCCUUGAUAUCAUCUAUUAUUGUGUACUGUGUGUUCCAACUUCAUGAUAUGGCCUAUGCAGAGGUAAUAUUCACUAAUAAUACUAAGCUCGUUCACCUUGAGCAUAUUUCCCUUCUGGGGAUUUUUCUUUUCUAAGUAAUUUGUAUUCAUUAACAAACAUGCUUGAUCACAAACUGGUUAUUUUCUGACCACAGAUUUUCUCAUUAUGGGCUGUUAGUCCUAGGAAGAAUGGAGGAUUGAGCUUUUCCACUGCAGAUGUUGGUGAAGUUCUUGCAUUUUCAGGUAGUAGAUACCAGCCAGCAUCAUAUAAUUGAUUAAACAUUUAAAAUUGUGUCCCUUGUCAGGUUAACAAUAUCAAUUCCAGCGUUGUCAGAUGUUAUGCAUGUGAUAUCACUCACUUCAUCACUUUGUGUUUGGUUAGUGUUCAAGAACUGAAGGGGCAUGUAUAAAGAGACAGAAACAUGUUUAGUUGAAGAGAAAUUUCUGUACUCUCGAGACAUGUCCCUGCUAUUUCUGUUUUUUUUUUUUUUAAUCUGAGACAGAAACCGAACGCUAUAGAUGUAGGCUUGUCAUUAGUUGUGACUGUGCAUUAUUGCUUCACUUUCUUUUUCCAUUAAUUUCCUUUUUGUCUUCCAAUCUGCAAGGCCUUGGACUGCUACUCUUUCAGCUAUUUAUAUACCCACUGGUUGAGAGAAAUUUUGGACCUGUCAUGGUAUCUCGCAUAGGAGCAGUAUGUCCUUAACAAACUUUCUGCUUAAAAAUCAUCUUGCAUCUGUAUUUGUUGAAGUCAUGUUUUUUAUAUAAUAUUUUCUUGCUGUUUGUGAAGGUCUUGACCAUUCCAUUGCUAUCUAGUUACCCUUUUCUAGCUAUGCUGAAAGGCCUUGCCCUCAUGCUGCUGAUCAACUGCGCUUCCAUCCUGAAGAACGUACUCGCUGUAAGUGUCUGUGUUUGUGCCAUUAACAUAUUGAUUUUAGAGUGCAAAUUAUACCAUAUUGUCCAAAAGGUUUCGUAAAAGCUUUCACAUUUUUUCACCAAUCACUACCAUUUCUUUUUUACUUGUGUAGGUAUCAAUCACAACAGGAUUGUUCCUUCUGCAAAAUAGAUCAGUGGUAACUUUACCCUUCUUUUGGCUCUAUGUUUCUCUCUUUAUCUUGUAUCUUAGCAACAGGUUAUGGGUAAACAACGGCAUUUUGUAAAAUGCAUUGCUUGAACUUAAUGUCAGACACAACAACAAAGAGGUGCUGCAAAUGGAAUUUCGAUGUCUGCCAUGUCCCUUUUCAAAGCAAUUGGUCCAGCUGCUGGGGGUUCUCUGUAAGUAUCAUCUCGAGCCUCGAUUGAAUGAAUUGGCUAGUUUCGUUACAGUGAGAUUCAAAUUGUUGGUGCACUGUAUUAAUCUAAUCCUAGAAGCUAUGAAACAUGUUUGAAGAGCUUUACAUUUCAUGCACAAAAAAUGAGCUGAACAUGUCCCUCGUCUUACGGCUGAAUUCCUACAUAUGAUCAUCUUGCAUUACAUCAAACAUGUUUGCACUGACAUUUUAAAGUGUCAUUGGAAUGCAUCCAAGGUGCCUUGCUAGCCUAAAAAAAACUUCAGUAUCAUGAACCAAUGCACAACACACUGAGGACUCUUCACAUUCCUUAUUGGUUCAUCCAAACAUUCAAGAACUUCUUCUAGAAUAUUUUGGGUCAACAGGAAAAAUGCUUGACGAGAGUCUAUACUGCAUAGACAAUAAGAUGUUACACUGUAUGUGGAUUUCAUUGCAUAAUUAAGUGUGGAUCAUAAGCCUUUCUACUAAAUUAUAUGUUGUGCUUUAAACAUAUCCAGCAGUAUUUCACAACAGUUGACCGUGCUUUCUAUAUUUACAGCUUCUCUUGGGCACAAAAGCGUCAGGAUGCUUUCUUUUUUCCAGGUAAAGAAGUUAUGCAGGCCCUAUAAAGAAUUCUCAGACUAGUUUUUCGAAGGGAAAGAACAAUUGUUCAGACCACCUAAUUGGAAUUUAUAGAUUGGUAAUAAAUCUGAUUGCCCUUAAUACAGAAACAGCCUCCUAGGCCUAGUCAGGGAAGUUUUAACAUAUAUAUGGAGCCCUAAAAUUGUGAUAGUUGAAGCCUGGUUGCAUAAGAUGAAAGCUUCUGAAUGAUCCUUUGCAAUGCAGGUGAUCAAAUGAUCUUCUUCCUCCUUAACAUGAUCGAGGUCAUAGGACUGCUCUUGACCUUCAAACCAUUUCUAGCCCUUCCUGAUGACAACAUUUCCUAGUUCAAUUUCAAAGGUUCACAUCAACCAACAGAGGCUAAAAAACCAUGAAGAUUGAUUCCAAAUUCUUUCCCGUAGCUAGCCCAAUUCUUCAACUUCAGCCGACCCUCAAGUGUAUCACCUUAUGUAGGAUUUUUGUACCGUUCCCACCUGUAAUCAACCUGAAAACCACAGAAGAGGUGCCUUCAUGCAUAUUUUCUUCUGGCUUGGUAAGGAUCAAGGAUUGGUAACUUACAUCUCUAGCAGCCCUUGUAUUGAUUGAAUUUGUCUGCAUGAGAUGGAUUGUAUAUUUAUUAUUUCCCCGUUUCUUCUAUCUCGAGACAGUAAUCAAAUGUCAUCAUAACUCUUGUGAUAUUAACAGCUAGUAACGUUUUCUUUAUGCAGAUAUAUGACAUCUGCUCUAGUUCCUUCUCUCAUUUUCAAACUUUGGUGGGCUUGUAAAAGAUCUGAAACUACUUCUAGUCUCACAUGAUUAUUAUCAUCCCUCUGGUUACAUAUGCCUGGACAAUGAACUGGCCUCGAGACAAACACCUACUGGAUAUCCUGUCCCAUUCAUAAUUACAAAAUGGAUUGAAGUUCUGCUUCACAUCUCUCACAAGGGCAGCUUGAACAAGAUGUAAUGUCUAGUGUGAUAUAGUGCUGCAACUUCUUGUAGGUUUUGAUUUAGUCCAUGCAGUAAAGUGUUUACAAAAUCAUCCCCAAAGUUUUUAAUUGAAGAAACAUUAAAUGUUAGCUCUGAUAAGUCUCGGGAUGCAGUUUUUAAUGGAUCGCACUCAUUUCAUUUCAGCCUAGCAGGGACUAAGGUGGGCUCCAAGUUAGAUUGUAAGGACUAAAUCAUAUUAUCCAAAAACAAUUGUAUAUAGUUGGCGGGUCCUGCCAAAAAAGAACAAGCUAAACAUUAAAAAAAACAAAAAAAAAACACUUGAAAAACAAGGAUCAGCAUGUUCGAAAAAGAAAAUUAAAAAUGGUAUAAAAAUAAAUUAAUUUUUUUUAAAAUGAUUAUUUGAAUUUAAUUUUGUAGAGAAGAGUUUGAGGUAAAAAGAGGAGGCUAUGAAGGUUGAAUGAGAUAAGUUUUUUAUUGUAAGAUUAAUAUAAAAAAAAAAUGAACUGAAUUCGAUAAUAAAAUAUUUUUUAAAAAACAUAAAUCUAAUUUGUUAUGUUUAAAAACACUAUAGUUAUGCUAUAAAAUAAAGGAAAUGCAGAGAUAAACAGAGAAAAAAAAGCUCAAACAUGGCAAACCCUAGAAGGAAUUCAUACUCAAACAACACAGAGAACUCAUUUCAGCUACAAAACCAUUCAAGAUUAUCAUCUAUAAAGCACUUUUUGAAAAAGCCACUUGCUUUCCCUUUUUUGCUCUCUAUCUUUCUCCUCCUCGCAUGGAUUUCUCUCAGACUCCAACACUCUUCUUCAAGUUUUUCUUCUAGCAAUCUCCAUGAGAGAAAAUGGAGCCAAGAGGAGGAUGAGAAGGCAAAUCUGAUCAGAUUUAAAUCUGGGUUCUUAAGUUCUAAAGAUAAGCGUGGCUGGUUGCUUGACCCUGUGUCUAUUGCUCUUGAAUAUGGCAUUAAAGGUUACACCUUCGGUCUUUUUAGUGUUAUAUGAUUCACUAAGAAUAAUGGGUUUUGAUUGUUUUGAACGAUUUCUUUGUUUAAUAUCAAAAUCAGCUGUUUGCUGGUUGAUAGUCUAAUCUUUGUCCAAUUUGAUAAUGUUAAAUGCUGCGUAAGAUUGAUGUUGUUGAGGUUUAUUUAAAGUAAUUUAUUUUUGUGUUACUUUGUUGCUGAAAGAGGAGGAUUUUGUUGCUGUUGUUGUUGUUACAGGUGGAGCUGUGUCUUGUUUUUCUAUUCAUAUUGGUGAAAUUAGACCUGGUGGUGCAAGGGGAAAUCACAGGCACCAUACUUGCAAUGAGACAUUUGUCAUUUGGGGUGCCAAAACAUUAUUUAGGGUAUGGUUUCUCUUAUCUACAAUGUUAUCUGAUUUAUGGAUGUUGCUGAUGAAAUCAGUAAUAAAUUGUGUAUUGAACCAUGCAUGAAUGGUAAGCUAUGAAUAUGUAGCGUUUAAAUACUUCAGAAAUCUUCCACGUGUCUUUUCAGUCUGCUUUCUUAUGAAAAUGUUGGCGUUUUGUCAAUUAUCUUUAUAACUAGCUGACCGUUUGGCGUCUUGAGCAUGUCUUGGGGUCUCAAAUGUUUUCAUAUGAUCGGUUAAAAUAAAUAAAAUAUUCUAGAAUUGUGUCUAAGAUGUCUAUGUAAAUAAUGCUGCCUUUCUCUCAGCAUGAAAGAAGAUUGGAACUCCAUUGUUUCUGAGUUGCUUUGUUCUUUUCUACCUUUCUUGUGUUGUUGCAGUCUUGUAUUUGAUCAGAUCGUUAAUAGACUGCAUCAGACCUUGACGGGUUUUUAUUUGAUACCUUCCUUUUCAACCUUAUUUGUCAAAUCAAUACGUGGAAUUGCAGAACUCCACUGGUUCAAAUACUAUGUUUCUUUGCCCCAUGAUAAACUCUAACCUGUGCUUUCACCAUGUGAUUCUGCACGUGACGGGUGCACCCAAGUUUAUUGCCUAUGAACCGGAUGCUAACAUGUGUGUGCCGAAGAUGCAUAGAACGAUAAAAUAUCACUUUUUUUAAUGAAAGAUCAUAUCUUCGUACACGGUACUGAUUAAUUGGCAUGAAAGACCAUAUCUUCAUACACGGCACUGAUUAAUUGGCCAACUGAUUGGUUUACUUCUCUAUAAAAGGAGGAGAAAAUAAGUUUUUGAAAAGACUUAGCAUGGAUGUGAAUGCUUGACUGGAGAUGUCUUGGAUACUGUUGAUUUGUCGCUGUGUAUGGUUCCCUUAUUGAGUACAAUUAGAAAAAUCCUGCUUACUGUUGAUUUCUUAUUCUCUCAUGUAUAUCUUCCUUAUAAUUUUCUCCCAACCAUUUGCAGCUGGAGAACAAUCAGAUAGUCGAUAAAGGUUAUGCCGAAGUGAUCGUCGGCGUGGAUGAAGUUGCUGUUGCAGCUAGCCCAAGUGGAACAGGCCAUGCGAUAGUAAAUAUGGAUCGCACACAUACUGCAUACCUUAUAGGGUGCCAAGACAGUACGAUAAACUAUAACAGCUCAGCUACUGAUUUUAGUGUUUGGAAAGAUCUCUAGAGUUGUUCUUUUCAUACAUUCCCCUCUCUGCUGCUCUUCAACAAGCUGAAAUGGAACGUGUUUUCGUUCAUUGUCUAGCAUGUGAUUACAGUCACAGUUUACAUGAGAGGAUGACUUAUAUCUACCUGUAAAUAUAUUUGAUAUAUUUUUUAUGUCAAUGAUACCAUCGUCAAAUACAGUUAUGUGAUUACAUACUGCAUGAUAUCUGGGCAUAGUUAUUAGACUUGCUCCAAGGCUUGGGUUGCUGGUUGGCCAACCCUUGUCUAUCCUAAACAAAAAGUUUUAGAAAACUGAAACAGUGUUGUUAUGGAUAAAAAUUUUAAAAAAAAUCUUUGAAGUUGACAUGAUUAGGUUUUACUAGGGUUUGAUCGGGUUAACUUAGAUUAUAAAUUGAUGGGUUGACCUGUGAAUUACUUGAGUUUGACUUAAACGAGUAAAAAACAAACAUGGUUGGCAAAAACCAUUAUGUGGAGGAACGCAUAGAGAGUUGAUUUUGGCACUCCAUCAAGUUUAACCACUCUCCUUCACUAAUAUUUUUUCCCAAGCUGAUCGUAAUGCCCAUGGAACAGCUGUUGCUACAUGUAUCAAUUUGUUGCUAGUGUAAUUACCCAUUGUGAAGAUGCAGUGCCUGUCUCCUCCACUUCACUCGUGUUACCACCAUCUCCACCAUUUAUCACCACCGUUACAACCCAAAUUUGACGUUGAGCGGUGAUAUGACCCCAAAUUGAUUUUGUGAUCCCGCAAUAGCUUUAAGUGGAGGGUUUGGGUUGAUUGUGGAGCGAUGGUAGAGUGUGGUUUUGGUGGCAGCGGUGGUGGUAGAUCUAUGGAUAAAAAUAUAGAAGACCUUACAAGGUAGCCAGGGGAGGCAGUCGUGGAAGCAAACCCUAUUGCCAUGCCGACCAUCAAUACAAAAUUGAGUUUUUGACGAAAUCUGGAGCUUCUGCUACAAUAAUAUUGUCAUCAACCAACCUUCCCACGCUUGAAAGCUAUGCAGUGUACAAAUUAGAAAUGUUGCUUGCAACAACAUACAAGCAAAAUAUACGUGCAAGGAACUCUUUGUCAAGGCCUAUAUAUGAAACCACAGAACAUACACGCAGCAGCACUAAAGAGAGAAGAAACUGAGAUCUAGCCUUGUUUUUGCACUCUGAUUGCCUGCAAAAUGGAUAUGGGAAAUAAGAGGAUGGCUGUUUUAGUAGGGUGCAACUAUCCAAACACCAGAAAUGAAUUACAUGGAUGCAUCAAUGAUGUGCUGACAAUGAAGGAAGUGCUUGUGAAACGGUUCGGAUUUGAUCUUAGAAGUGUCCAGCUCUUGACUGAUGCACCAGGGUCCGUGGUUCUGCCCACUGGUGCAAAUAUAAAGAAGGCACUUAGUCACAUGAUUGAUCAGGCUGAAGCAGGGGAUGUCCUGUUCUUCCAUUAUAGUGGACAUGGAACAAGGAUCCCAUCCGUCAAACGUGGCCAUCCCUUCAGGCACGAUGAGGCUAUUGUGCCCUGCGAUUUUAAUCUCAUCACCGGUACAUAUCCCCUCUCAUUUUAGAUUACUGUGGACAAUCAUGACAAACGUGACGGUUGUGUGUUUACACAUAUAUGUUAUGCACUUAUGAUUAAGAUAAGACGAUUGUAUCCGUAACAUUAUUUUGAGUACUGAAAGGUUCUUCUAUCACUGUUAUGCAGAUGUGGAUUUCAGACAAUUAGUGAACCGGCUGCCAAAAGGAGCAAGCUUGACAGUCCUUUCCGAUUCUUGCCCAGUGGUGGCCUGAUUGACAAAGAGAAGGAGCAAAUAGGGCCUAAGGCAACAAUCACAACCAAUAAUGCCAAAGUGCCUUCUCAAAGCCCUAAAGUCAUCCCAUUUGAGUCUAUACUACAGCACCUUACAUCUCUAACAAACAUCAACACAUCUGAUAUUGGUACUCACUUGUUAGAGUUUUUUGGAUCUGAUGCCAGCCUUAAGUUCAGGUUACCACCACUUGAAAGGGACCAAUUUGAAUCAAUAAAUCCAGAUGAGGGAAUUUUACUCAGUGGGUGCCAAGCAAAUGAGACUUCUGCUGAUAUGAGCCCAAAUGAGGGUGGUGGAAAAUCCUAUGGAGCAUUUAGCAAUGCAGUACAAAUGGUGUUGAAAGAACAUUUAGGUCAAUUGAGUAACAAACAACUUGUGAUGAUGGCUAGGGAGGUUUUACAGGCACAAGGAUUUGAGCAACAACAUCCUUGCUUGUAUUGCAGUGAUCAGAAUGCUGGUACUACUUUCCUGUGGCAGCCUGAAUGCUAGCUAGCUAGCACAAGUAAUGAGAUCAUGUUCUGGUGGUUGUCUGGACUCUGAUUGUCACUAGCCUUGUGUUUGCUGUAAUAAAAGUGGCAUGUAAUAAAGAGGUUCACGUCCCUGUGCCUCUCCUCGAAACUUUGACAAGCAUUUAUUCUUACAUAAUGUCUUGUGAACAAAAAAUUGAUUUGAUUGACGAGCUUUAAUUUUACCACUCAAAAUCUUCUUCUCAACGUUUGUAUGUUUUUUUUUUUUUAGCUCAUCAAGUGACCUGAUAAGUCUCUGGCAAUACAUAGGUCAGGAGAGCCAUGAAGCGACCUGAUAAGUCUCUGGCAAUACAUAGGUCAGGAGAGCCAUAAAACAUAAAUAUAUCAAACUAAUUAGAAGGAUUUAGGAAGGGUCAGACAUUUAUCCAGCAUGAGUACUGCAAGAGAAUGACAAAAUAAGCUAACAUCGAAAACCCUUUCAUCAUGAUACAACAUUUGACAGUACCGCAGUCACAAAAUGCAUGAAUCCUCUGCAGAACAUGCGAUUCUCAGCUCAGGCAGUGUUGUUUUGUGGUGGGGUGGAAGGGUGGUAAGUUGGUAACUUUUAUAAAAGCAAAAAUAUACAGUAGAGGUGUAGUAGUUAGAAGAUGAGGCACAUUGCCCCGUGCUUGAGGUGGCAGAGAAGUCCUGGCUGAUCUUGAGAAUGAUGUCUCUUGCCUGCUUCAUCACAUUCUCAAAUAAUUAUCUCAACCCAUCAAGUUAAAAUGUUACGGUGGUUAAUUUGGACAACUUGAGUCAUUGAAAUCUCGUGCUAUCUCUUAUAUCUUGUGCAGGAAACAUAUAUAUUUCUGUUUUAAAAUGUUACGGUGGUUAUUUUUUAUUUAAAAAUAUAUUAAAAUAAUAUUUUUUAUUUUUAAAAGUUAUUUUUUAUUUUAAUAUAUCAAAAUGAUCUAAAAAUAUAUAAAAAAUAAUUUUAAAUAAAAAAAUUAAAAUUUAUGCAAUUCUCAUUUAAAAUGCAAAACCAAACAAAAAUAAAUAAAACAAAUUGAAAAAAGCAACCUCACAGUUUUAUUUUAUUUUAUUUUUUCUUCUUUUCUUGAGCUCAUCAGAUUUUGUCAAGGCCUGGCAAUCUGAAAAUCCAGGGACUGUAAAUAAACGAGCCCCCCCACCACACCCCUCAAUCAAAAGGCCUGAGCUCUUCCAAAAGAAACUCACGUGCAUGGCCUUCAUCACUCAGUGGCUUUAAGUUAAGGCAAAACUCCACUUUUUUUUUUUUUCUUGCUCAGAAGAUGCAUCCCUCUCUUAACACAAUCCAACAGAAAAAAAACACGGAUAGAGAAGAAGAUAGAGAAACAUGAAGGGACAAGAUCCCUUGGUCUCGUCAUCUUCCCGGCGAGAAUGCUCUCCGGCGCCACCCGAAAAGAUUCGUUCAAAGAGCAUCGGAUGUAUGUCUGGCAUUUUCCAAUUCGUUUACAAAUACCAUAAUCGCCGUAGAUUCAUCACUUUUGGUACGUUUCUUCUUUGAUUAUGAGCUUUUAGAUUUAUUCACGAAUUACCUAAGUUCAAGCUACUGGGCAGAGAUAGACAAUAACAUUAUUUUUUCAGGGAAAAGGCAUGAAAAGGAUAUUGUGGUUACUUCUCCAAAACCAACGACACCAUCAUCGCAACCUUCUUCUUCUUCUUCUCCGUCAUCUUCUUCCACUUCACUGGAACAAGAAAACAAAGUUCUCCAAAGACUCCCAUGCGAUAUGGCACCAAGAAGCCCAACAUUGCCAACCGGAAUAUUAAGGCGGUCAAGAUCCUUAAACUCCCCUGAAAGUUUCCGGGCUCAACCAGCCCCGGUGGCAAGACUAAUGGGGUUGAGUGAUAUUCCACCAAUGACAACCGCCGAAUUGGCGUUGGCCGAGAAGAGGAGGAGGCUCCUGGGGGCAUUGGAGAAAUGCGAUGAGGACUUGAAAGCAUUAAAGAAAAUAAUUGAUGUAGUAAAGAGUAGUAGUGUGGCUAGUACUGGUGAUGACGACGAUGAUGAGGGAAGAUCAGAGAGAGGUAAUGACCUUCCAUUGUUGCCGCAACCUAGUCCAGUGUCUGUGCUCGAUGAGUUCACUCGUUCGGCUCUCAGUGGAUUCUCCAAACGUUACACCAUUAAUGGUAAGUUUCUGUUCUCUUCCUUGAUUACAAUUUUAUUAUUAAUUGUGUUUGUCUUUUCUUUUGGCUAUAUACUAUAUUAUAUCAUGCAUGUAAAUACCAUAAUUCAAACAAAUAUUGUUUGUUUUAUUUGUUUUUUGGCAUGAUUCUAUUUAAAAACACCAAAAUUCUUCAUGGUUUCUUGUCUUUAUAUUUAUUUUUCUACUUGACCAGAAAUAUAUAGCUCACUUUUUUAUAGCAUGGAGAAUAUUUUGUGUUCUAGUUUUAUACAUUUUUUUCUAAAUUUAUUUUAUUUUUCACAUCUACACAUUAAUUAAAAUCAUUAAAAAAUAUUUAAAAGGUAUUAAUUUGAUAUUUUCUCAACUAAAACAAUAAUUUCAAAAACACUUUAACAUGCAUGCCCAAAAAAACAAACACUCUAGUAAUCUCCUUGUUUUGAAUAGAUUAAUUAGUAAUUAAUCACUAGAUUAAACAAAUUAAUGUCAUGAGUAAUGAAACACAGUCUACUUCCUUGAUCUUUUUGUCUCGUUAACGUUUUCUUUUUGGUAUUUUAGAAAAAGGGAUGAACAAAAAGUACUUUGCGUAAACACAUGCUAAACCUAAUCUCUUGUCAAAUUAUUUCAUGAGUGGGUCUCAUUAUAUUGAUGUUUUUGGCUUUUUUAAAAGUUUUCAAACCUAAUCAAGCACUUUUUUAUUAGCUUCCAUUUCAAGAUAUGGUAGGGCACAUGAGAAUAUAUAGACAUUGAUGUUCUAGAUUUUGUAUGCCUUUCAUCAAUAUUUUCCCAGAACAAAACCAAAUUUAUUAAAUUAGUGUGGUUAAAAUCUCGAUCGAGUGAAUCUAAAAUAAUAUUAUUUUUAAAAGUAAAAUUUGAAAAUCAAAUUAAAUUUUAGCUUUGAAACCCAACUCAAUCAAGUUUCAAGUUAGAGAAUUACCAGGUCGUUGGUGGGACGAAAACGCACUUGGUAACAGUGCACAAAACGUUCAAAAUCUGUAGAUUAACACAAUUGGACUCAUCUUUCUAAAAGCGAGCAUCCUCACAAUACUCAUCACGCCAAAUCUCUGAGAUUUUCACUGACAUUAAAUGAAAAAUCUGUCCCUUUUAGUGCAUGAAUUUCCAGCUAGCUGCAGGGCAAACAUGCAAACCUGUAAAUCCUCACCAACUGAUAAAUCCUGGGUAGUUGGGAAAUCAAUGGGAUAGUGUUCCUAUAUGUAAUUUACAGCAAUUUGUAUGAAAAAGCUCUAGGGAUUCAAUGCAUGGUAUCCCUCGAGGGGAGACACUGGUGGGUUUUCUAUGGAGUGCGCAAGCCCCACAGGCCAUCCGUCUAGGAUUCCAAGUUAACAAUCAUAGCACCAUGUGUUGAGACUAUUAUUACCCUUAUAGUGGGAGACACGAUGCCUGCUAUUUGCAAUUAUAAUAAAACCACAAGAUUUGACUAACAGCUGUGGCAAGCAAUGGUGAGAAAAUCUGGGUGCUUAUCAGGAGUAAGAACUUGAUUUAGUUCUUUCCUUAAUUUGAUCAAUAAAAACUUGAUUACACGCUCUGCCACUAAUCUAUAGGCAGCGGCGGAGCCAGUACAUUUCGUCUGGAAAUUAAAAAAUCCGCCGGCGCCAUGUCACCGACCAGCCAUCCCUUGCCUCCACCCCUGUCUACAGGGGCAAGCUGCUAACAAGUUUAAUAAGAUAAUUAAAGCAAAUAAUCUCAACGGGUCUUGAACUCAUAUAGUUAUCAAACUCUAUUUGAGAUUUAAUCUAUUUAAAAUCUCGGGUCAUAGAUUUAUUGAAUCAAUUUACUAGGUUUAUAUCAUAAUAUAUGAACUUGUUUUGAAUAAUUUUUUUUAAGAAAAACCUGAAAUUACAUUAUAUUAGAAAUAAAAAGUAAUUCCUUGAAGUUGAGCCGUUAAGUUACUAAUUACUUAACUCUAAAUCAAUAAGUCACCGAAUUAAUUUGAUGGGACAUGUCGGUUUUAAUAGCUAUGAUUGUAGUUAGAACCUUUUUUUUUCCCUUGUAUGCAUAUAAUUUGAGAGAAAAUGAAGCCAUUUCUAGCGUAUUUGGUUUUUGAAAAUAUAUUUUAUUUAGAAAUAUAUCUAAAUAAUUUUAUUUUAUUUUUUAAAUUUUAUUUUUAAUAUUGAUACAUAAAACAACCUAAAAUCAUAAAAGAAUAAUUUUAAAUAAAACAAAAUCAAAAUCCAAACAUGUUCUUCGACGCCGUUUGGGAACGCGGUGCAAACCGCGUUCCUAAAAAAAUUAAUUUUUUUUAUUAAAAUUUAAUAUGUUUUGGAUCGUUUUGAUUUGUUGAUGUCAAAAAUAAUUUUUAAAAAAUAAAAAAACAUCAUUGACAUGCAUUUCAACAAGAAAAAUUAUUUGAAAAGCAAUCAUGCACGACACCUUACCUACAUAAUAAAUCACUGUAUUUCCCGACUCUUGUAUGCGUAUUAAGUGAAGGGAGCACUAAUAUUUGUGUUGCAGAACGAGUGCCACAACAACAGACGAAGAAGGAAGGAGGAGGAGAGGACAUCAGCAGCAUUGAUUUCCUUGACAAAAUCAUGACCAAAGAAAAUAUGAUCCAUGGGAAGAGCCAUGAGAGUGUAGUUUCAUCACCUUUAUGGAGCAGCAAAGCCAUGAUAGAAAGUGUGAAUGAGGUGUGCAGGGAUACUGCCUGGGGUGAGAGAAGGGAGAUUGGAAGAACAGGGUUGGCUUUGCAAGAUUAUAUAUUCAGGGACUUGAUUGAAGAGAUUGUUAAAGAAAUGGGAUUUGAUUGCAUUUACCAACUAGGACCUCUACCAUUUGAAUCAUGUAAGAAAAGGCUAAGUUUCUAGUGUACUUGAAUUCAUAUUUCUUGCAUUGACCCAAAAUCCACCUUCAAUUUUUAUUUUUAUUUUUUUUUUAUCUGAAUUUGAUUUUGAUUUUUAUUUUAACAUGCAAGAUGUUUUUAUUUUGUUUAGUAAUGCGGUUCAACUCGUUUUUUUUUAAUAUUUUUUUUUAAAAUGAUUUUUAAAUUUUUUAAUACAUUGAUAUAUAUAUAUUAUUUUAAUAUAUUUUUAAUUAAAAAAUACUUUUAUAAAAACUUUUUACAUCAUAUACUUAAUAUAAACUAUAAUUUUGAUGUUUGUAGGUAUUUGCAUACCAUAUAUUUGUAUUGGCACUCCACUUCCAUCUCCCCCCAGCAUUAAGAUUUUGCAUCCCUCACCUUAUUUUUUUUUUUUUUUUUUUUAAUAUUGAAAAUAUAAAUAUUUAAAAACUUGUUAAUUAUUUAUCACGACAUAUUCUGUAAUUAUGAAAGUUUUGUAACUAGAAAAAAUUAAGUAUAACUUUUUUAAAAAAAUUGUUAUCACUUUAUAGAAUAAAAAAAUAUUUUUAGGUCAUGAAAAACCCAUAUUUAAAUACUUACAAACUAAAAACGUGUAGAAAUUUAUAAUAUUGUAAAUUUUAUUUUAUUAUUUUAAAAAAUUAAGAGUAUUAUAAUUGCAAUUCGUUUACUGACUCAUGAUAUGGUAUAACUAAAAACAUGUUACAUAGAUUUAACAAAGCCAUUCACAAAUUAUAUACUUACUCUGUACUAAAUGUAUCUGCCUUUCAUUGUGCAAAUCCACUGGAAAAGACGGAUGUCUUUUAAUUGUAAUCUUUUUUGUUUUUAUUUUUUUUGUUUUUUUCUUUUCAAUUAUUUUUUUUAUUUAAUUUAGUUUUUUAAUAUUAAACUUUUUUCUAUUUAGUUAUUACAAUCUCAUGACACAAAUAUCAUGUUUAACAAGUUAACCUGAUUUGACAGGUUAACCCAGUUAACUCAAGAUUUGUUUUCUUUUUCUUAAUUAAUUUUUUUCUUUCAAUUACAUCCUUUAAUAUUGAUUUGAUUGAAAAUUAAAUUUUAUAAUUUAUUUUAUUUACUUUUCAUUAGAUUAUCCUAAUCCUAUGAGGGGUUUUAUUGUACCCCUCCUUACAAAAAACUAUUCAUUAGAAUAGUUCUUUGCUUUGUUUUUUUUCUUUUCAAUUAAUAUUUUUUUGUUUAAAUUCAUUCUUUAAUAUUAAAUUUUUUUUCUAUUUAGUUAUCACACUUUCAUUACACAGAUUCCAAGUUUGACAAGUUAACAUUUUUUACUUGGAUUUUUUUUUAUUAUUUUUCUUCCAAUUUCAUCUUUUAAUAUUGAUUUGAUUGAGAAUUAAAUUUCAUGGUUUGUUUUGUUUACUUUUCAUUAGAUUAUCUUGAUCUUAUGACACGAGAAUAAUGCUUAAUGGAUUAACCUGAGUUAACUCGAGUUAUUUUUUGUAUCUUUUAUUUAAUUAAUUAUUUUUUUAAUUUUAUCAUUCAACAUUGGAUCUGUUGGGAAUUGAGCUUCGUAAUCUAUUUUUAACCUAAUUGGCUCAUUUUCUCUCUCUUUUUUAAUUGGCAUUUUCUCUCUAAUUUCAUCAACUAAUAUUGUGUUUACUUUAUAAGUAAGCUUCAUGAUUUGUUUUGAUUUAUUUUUUAUGAGGUUAUCAUGAUCUUAUGACUCGAUAAUAGUGUUUAACGGUUAACUCGGGUUAACUUAGCUUAUUUUUUUGUUAUUUUUUUAAUUAAGAUUUUUUUAAUUUCCUUCAUUCAACAUUAGGUCUAACAUGGAUGAUUGAGAACCGAAUUUUAUAAUUUAUUUUGACUUUCUUUUUUUGGAGUUAUCUCAGUCGUGGAUUUGACAGAUUAACUGGGGUUAAAUCAUGUCAUUUGUUUUCUACAAGGUUAUCUCAGUCUGAUGACCCAGGUCAUGAGUUUGGUGGAUUGACUCAGGUUGUUUUUUAUGUUAUUUUUUUAAUUUUUUUUAAUCUCAUCCUUUAAUAUUGAACUGGUUAGGGAUUGAAAUUUGUAAUUUGUUUCAAUUUAUUUUUCAUUGGGUUAUCUCAGUCUUAUGAUCUGGGUUGCAAGUUUGACAUGUUAACCAGAGUUAUUUUUUUAGGUUCUUUUUUAAUUGACUUUUUUUUUCAAUUUCAUCCUUCAAUAUUGAGUUAAUUGGGAAUCAGGCUUAAUAAUUUAUUUUGAUUUGUUUUCCAUAGGGUUAUCAUAGUCUCAGAAUCAGGGUCAUGAAUUUGACAUGUUAACUCGGGUUGUCCAAGAUCAAUACAAUAUGUUGUUAUUUUAAUAUUAAAAAAAGAUAUCAUCAUGAAAUUUUAUUUAAUUAAAAUUUUUUUUCACAGGUUGUAUAAAUUCUUUUUGGACCAAUAAUGUCAACCAGGUUACAUCGAGUAAACCCUCACACGAUUUAAUUUUUUCUGUUAUAAAAAAAAACAUUAACAAUAUUUGAAUAUAUUUUUUUAUGUUCAAAUUUUUUUUAACUUGACCUACAGUGUAGCACGGGUAAAUCACAUAGUUAUAAUUAAACUUGGUUUGACUUGUAAUUCAAGUUAACAAAAGGCAUGUUACAUAGAUUUGACAAAACCGCUCAGGAAUUAUAGUAAUUACACUCGGUAUGAUUUAUAAUCUAAGUUAUAAGUUACAUAAGUUAAUUCGGGUUAAAUUAAAUUAAUCAAAAUGAUAUAUUUUUUUUAAAUCAAAAUAACAUCAUUUUAUAUAUAAAAAAAAAUUAAAUCAGUUUUGAUUAAUCUUUUUAACACCUAUCUGUUAAAGGAAGUAGAUUGGUCAAGUCUCGAUUCAAUCUGCCAGGACAGGACUAGUUUAAGAAGGUGUUUAAAAUAGUGAUAAAUAUUAUUUUUUUAAAUGAUUUUUUUUAUUUUAUUUUAUAAAAUUUAUUUUUAUUGGUAACUGCGGCCCCGAACAUAAUUGUGAUAGGAAUAGUGACAUGGUGAAGGAGACGUAGAGAUUACGUGGCAGUCACCGCGAGAUUGCAUGAUUCUCCGCGUCCACACCGCGUAAACGCGCACGUCUGCUUUUUGCCAUUUUGAUUCACUAAAAUCGCCAUCAUUCUCACCGAAAAUUACUGUACACCAAUAACUAUUCAUCAAGAAGUCUUUUAAAAUCAAAGAAACCGACGUGGCAUUAUGUGAAUGGGUUAUUCUAAUGAUGGGUGGUAAUUAACUGUAUUGUUAUUGACAGAUCUGUCAACCUCUUUCUUCUCCUUGUGAUUGGCUUUUUUUGACUUGUUUAAUGCUGCUGUACGAUUUUACCCCUGAUGAUUAUUCACUGCAAUUUUUUUUUUAUUUCGAGGGUUUAAUUUUUUCAAAAUUUGCAAUGACCUAAGUACCCUUUUAUUGGUUUCGAAAUUUGGUCUCCCGCAUGCACAGGGCGACUGGAAAACAUUUUUUUUUUCACCAAAAACCCAUAUAGUAUAUAGUAGCGGUGAGAAUUUGAUAUAUAUUAAUAUAAAUUAAUUUAAAAAAUAAGUUUUUUUUUAUAGAUAGUUACCUUACUUAUUGAAUAAUAAAUAAAAUAUAAAUAUUAUCAAACUAUACUCAAAACCCAACCCCAAUCUAAAUUUAAUAUAUAUAUUUUAUUUGUUUAUUGAAUAAUAAAUAAUAAUCAUAAAAUAUAUAUUUAUAUAGGUACUCGAAACUUGUUAAAUAGAGUAUGAAUAUCUAAAUUUCUUACCUAAUAAGUAUUCGAUAGGGUAUACAUAUAAAAAACAUGACCCAUAAAUAUUCAUUGUCAUCUAUACUAGUGAUUGACAUGAGAUUAUUUGGUAGUGAAAUUUAAUUUUUUAAAAAAUAAUAUUAUUUUAUUAAAAAAUACUUAUGUUAACUACACAUGAUUCAUGAUAAAGAUUUUGGACUUGGUCGGGUCUUGUAAUUAUAAAUGAAGCUACAUUGGGUAGUGGCGCUUGCAUAGUAAACCUUGGAAAAAUUCUACAUUUUUAGUCCUAAAGUUCGAAAUAUUUUAAUUAUAUAAUUGAAUUUAAAGUUCAUUUUAUAAGAGAUACAAGUUUAUGAAUUUGUAAAAAAGGAGUUCGGUCGAAGAGAAAAGGAAUAAUUUGCAAAAAUAUUUAUUUUUUUAUUAGUGAUUUGAUCGCAUAAGUUGACAAGAAUUUGGUGGCAACCGAAAGUAGAGGUGAGAUUGAUUGAUAAAGAGCUAGCAAGGGAUGAAUUUCCUUUCCUUGUCAAGUAGGUUUACAAAAUAUGUUGCAAGAAAUUGCGUUGAAAAUAUCUUUCAUGUUUGCCACACUUGUAAAGUGAUGUGUUCUUGAGGAGUCACAAUUCAUUGGAAAAGAGGACAUUAAGUCUAUCAAUGUCAAAGGUUCCUCUCUUGACAAUUACAAAAGAAAAUGAUGAUUGAUAUGAUAGGAAGAUAAUAAUUACAAAUGCAUCACUCCAUAAAAUAAAAUUAAUUUACUCAUAUAUAUUUGAUUUAUCUAAUACAUUAAAUAUGUAAUAUCUCACGUCGACCGGUGAGGAGUUGGUUGCUGGUCUUAUUAGUAGUGCUGAUUACUAACUUGUUAUAUAUGUUUUGGGGCGUCAGGUUCAGAAAUGGACUCGCGUCACUAGGAAUAAAACUGUGAGGACGGUAAGGCUCAAAACAGAUAAUAUAUGACAAGUUGGGUUGAGCUGUUACAAAAUAGUUUUGUUUUCUAUAGUAAACCCCACAUAUAAUUAUAUUUCAAAUCUUAAUUUUAUAGAAAUUAAAAUAACUCGUUUUGUAUUCAUGAAUACCUUUUUUUUUUUUGCAUGAAAAAUCCCAUUAUGUAACCAAACACAUAUUCUUUUAGACAUGCCUUCUAAAAACCACAACUAAGUUUGUCUGCUUGGUAUUGUAAUAAUUUCUGUGGUUACGGUUUUUUUUAAAUAGAUUUAAUAAUAACACAUUUAGUUGUGUUUUUUUUAAUAUGUUUUAAAAAAAUAUGUGCUUGGUUAAAACUACACUGAAAUAAAUUUUUGCAUGUAAAAACCAAGAUUUAAAAUACAAUUAUUUAUGGGGUCCAGUGUAAAAAACAAAAGUUAUUUAGUAAACCAAGCAGUUUUCUUAUGUGGUUGAACAAAAAAUAUUUUUUAAAAAUAUAUUUUUUAAAUCAUUAUAGCAAGUGUUAUUAUAAUAUCAAACACGAACGAAGUUAGAAUACACAAGUUCACAAACAUUGAAAUUUGUAUAAUAAUUUUUUUAAGAUUAUACAUGAAAUUGUGUCAAUAUAAAGAGAUUGAAAGUUAAAGAAGUACAUCAAAUCCCUCUAUUUAUCCACUAAUAUUCAAACUCUAUGGAAAAUCAUGAGAAGCAAAAUCCUCACUAAUCUCUUGAUAUUGGCUUGGAUGACUUAUUUUCAAACACCCCAAAAGGUAAAAUUAUCCAGAAUUAUGUAACAAAAAUGCAACACUUCACGAAUUAUAAAUCCAUGAACACUCGUUAAAAAGAAAACACAAUGAAGGGCAUAAUGGUCAUUUAAGAGGCGAAUCAAUCAUGAAUCCCAGAAAAAAUUAAAAAAAUAGAAUGAAGGAAAAAAUAAGAAGGGCAAGAUUGGAAGUAAAAAGUGAGUUGGAAUUGAUAGGUGGGGCCACAAGAAAGCUAGGGGCGGCUAAAUUAGCUCAUAUAAAAACACGACUCCUUCUCUCUCUCUUACGCGCUCUUUUCUCUAUCUCUCAGAUUUUUUUAUUUCCCUCUAGACUUUUGCCUUUCCUAAAGAGAAAUGGCGGAUCAAUUGACUGAUGACCAGAUCUCCGAGUUCAAGGAAGCUUUCAGUUUGUUCGAUAAGGAUGGUGAUGGUAUGUUUCUUGAUCUGUCUUUCGCUUUGUUUCUUGGGGUGUUUUUGCUUUUGCUCUAUGUUUUUUGCUUGUGUUUUUAGCUUGAUUUGUUUUAGAUCAUGUUGUUUGGGGUAAAAAGAUGGUCUCUUUGAGGGAAAUAUGUGAUUUUGAUUGAUGGGUUCUUCUUGAGAUUUGGAAAUUUGUUCGGCUGAGAUUGGGAAAAUUAGUGUCUUUGGUAAAAGGUAGCUUCUCUUAGUGAAAUUGGUGAAGGGUUCUUUAGAUUUUGAUUGAAAACGUUUCUUAUUUUGACUAUUGAAAAGCAGAUUGUUUUAUUUUGGGCUACCUUUAAUGAUCCAAUCAACAAUGGAAUAUAAUACAUGUAUGAUGUUCGUUAAUUAUAUUGCAGGAUCCAAGGCUUGUGAUUUAGGGAUUUUUUGGUGGUAAAUUAGCAGUAAUCUUUGACUCUUUGCAUCUAAUGAUUGUAACAUGGUGACACGUAGUGAACUUCUUUGCUGAUUAAUGUUUUGCAAAUGGAUGUCUUGUGCCAAAUUAUCAAUUUUUAUGGUUAGCUUAUUGUUGUCUGCCGGGUUUAUUUGUAUUUUAGGUUCUUGAAUGCAUGUGAUUAGUUGUUUCCGAAAUAUGUUGUUUUUAAACUUUACGAGAUGCCUAUGUAAGUGGUAAAUGAGAUUAAGCUUGCUACUAAGAAUAUCUAAACAGAAGGUUCUUUCAGAUCCUACCUUUUGCUGCAUUUGGCUUGUUACAAUUGCAGAAGUAAAUUAUAGUCUGAAAGCGAAGCUUUGAUUAUGUGUGUGCCCAUGAGAGGCACAUGAGACCAUCAAAAACAGUUGGUGAAUUGGUUUUUGAUGUCUUGUGUAUUACAGGUUGCAUCACCACCAAGGAAUUGGGGACUGUCAUGAGAUCGCUAGGACAGAACCCAACUGAGGCAGAACUCCAGGACAUGAUUAACGAGGUUGAUGCUGAUGGAAAUGGUACCAUUGAUUUUCCUGAGUUCCUGAACCUCAUGGCAAGGAAGAUGAAGGAUACCGACUCUGAGGAGGAGCUCAAAGAGGCAUUCAGAGUUUUUGACAAGGAUCAGAAUGGUUUCAUCUCUGCGGCCGAGCUCCGUCAUGUGAUGACUAAUCUCGGUGAGAAGCUUACCGAUGAAGAGGUCGAUGAGAUGAUCAGAGAAGCUGAUGUGGAUGGUGAUGGCCAGAUAAAUUAUGAGGAAUUUGUCAAGGUUAUGAUGGCUAAGUGAUAUCCCUUUCCCCCUGGAAAAAAAUAUUUUUAUAAAUUUAAAUUAGGAGGGGAUAACAGGGUUGACCUAUAUAAUGGAAUUUCUAGUUUCAUUUUCAACUUUUAUUUGAUGGUUUUUUGAAUCAAGGCUCUUAAAGGAAGUGGUGUUGGAGGCUUAUUGUGGUGGUUUUGUUGUAAUGUUCACGCUUCCUUUAAUGUCUUGUGAAACUCAGUUGCCUUUGCC